GACGAACGCUGGCGGCGUGCCUAAUACAUGCAAGUUGAGCGAUGAAGAUUGGUGCUUGCACCAAUUUGAAGAGCAGCGAACGGGUGAGUAACGCGUGGGGAAUCUGCCUUUGAGCGGGGGACAACAUUUGAAAACGAAUGCUAAUACCGCAUAACAACUUUAAACAUAAGUUUUAAGUUUGAAAGAUGCAAUUGCAUCACUCAAAGAUGAUCCCGCGUUGUAUUAGCUAGUUGGUGAGGUAAAGGCUCACCAAGGCGAUGAUACAUAGCCGACCUGAGAGGGUGAUCGGCCACAUUGGGACUGAGACACGGCCCAAACUCCUACGGGAGGCAGCAGUAGGGAAUCUUCGGCAAUGGACGAAAGUCUGACCGAGCAACGCCGCGUGAGUGAAGAAGGUUUUCGGAUCGUAAAACUCUGUUGGUAGAGAAGAACGUUGGUGAGAGUGGAAAGCUCAUCAAGUGACGGUAACUACCCAGAAAGGGACGGCUAACUACGUG
Molecule: ribosomal RNA, 497 nt
Filed under: uncultured bacterium
Lineage: Bacteria
Description: partial 16S ribosomal RNA
Rfam family: Bacterial small subunit ribosomal RNA
Source: RNAcentral